CCCCCGGCUUCGCCCCUGUCUGCACCAGACUUGCUCCUCUCCCCGCCGCCCGACGGCAACAGGUCUUCCGGCUGCCGCUUCUCCGGCCGAUACUGCCGGUGACCUGCCCGCCGGCGCUCGGGCCUAGGCCUGGCCUGGUCUGCGGAGGCCGCCGCACGCCGCCGGCGGAACCUGGCCCCGAGCCCGCCACGCACUUCCGGCGACGCCAGGCGGGGACUGAGGCGGGCGGGGCGCGGCGCGGCGGCCCUGAUGGACGCGCUGGCGGUCCUGAUGCAGGCUUCCUGACCCAGAACGAUGUCCUGCGCAGGGAGAACACCAGCUCAUGGGCCAGGCGGCUUCUUACAUGAGGCUCUUCGAAGCCAGAUUCUCCAGCGACACCCUGAAGGUGGCAUUUCUAAUCAGUCGCCUCGCUGGGCCUGCAGAGGAGUGGGUAGUCCCCUACAUCAGAGGGAGAGCCCUAUCCUAGCUCAAUACGAGGGCUUCGUGGACGCGCUGAAGCGGGCCUUUUGUAGAAAACAACGGGGCCGGGACCCCUUGUGUUGGGAGGGACGGCCUCCAGCCCCUGCGCUCCCCACAAGCCCCGUCCUGCUUGGCUUUGGUUCACAAAGAGCUGUCCAGUUCCCAGCGGCUGCGCCCUGAGCCUGGCUAGGAAGCUUGGCGCCGCCUGUUCUUGCCAGCCCCUCGCCUUUGCCCAGCCCCUGGCCGGGGACCUCUUGGAGAUUGAGUGGACCACCCAGAGUCACGCCUUUGCCACCUGCCGACAGUUUAUAUACCUGAGGACCAUAGGUUCUGACUGUUGUGACAAACACAAAAGGACAGAUUGCCAGAUGCAAACAAGGCAGCAUCAUCGCUUAAUUCCUAGGCAGACAUCCUACAACGUGGGCCUUCUGGAUGUGGAGACUACACGGGACUUCAUACCGCAUCUCCUCUGGAUUUUAGACAGCUGAGGCCUGAAUUGCAAUAAUCCAACUGAGAAAGGAAAGAGUUUUAGUGUAAGGUGGAGGUGAAAGAAGUGGAGAGAAGGACAUAGAUUUGAGGUAUGUUUUGGAGAUAGAAAUGACAAGCCUUAUAGAUAAAUACGAUGUGCGAAGUGUUUCUUCCUCUCUCCCCAGUCAGGAAUAUUGGACUUUCCAUUUCUAUCUUUCUACAUCCUCUUAUUCCUCCCCAAGGGAGGAGGAGGGGAUAAAGUAAUUAGUCAGAGCUCACUAGUCUUUGGACAUCCUUUUCCUUGUGGAUGAGACAUGGAGAUACACUUCCUGUGCUCAGGCAGAGCUGGUCCUCUGGUGCUUAUUGUUGCACUGCAGGGUGAUAGUAUGCCAAUAGCCUCCUAACUACAUCCCUUCUUACUCCCUUCCAGUCCAUCGUUCACACUGGUCAUGGUUACUUCUUUUGUUUAAUUUCUCCAAAUAGUUCACUUAAUUUACCUGGAGAGAUUUGGAAAUCUAUUUUUGGCCUACAACAGUGGAGAUAUUACUAAGAAGCAUCUCCAGUCAAGUUUGUUCUUUGCUUUGGUGCAGGAAUGGCAUUGCCAUUUUUAUGAUAUAAUACUGUAUGUCUCUCACUGGACUUCAUUGUUGGAAGCCACUCCUUUGUCAGGUGACUGUAAAAAACUGCAUCAAAAAAAAUAGAGCCACACAGAAUCUCCAGUUGUUUUAAAAAUAAGAAAAGAAUAGGUUGGUAGAGAUAUUUUCCAUUUUUGAAAGGGUUAUUAAAAAUGAAAUAAAAAAAGUUCAUUACAAGUUAUGAAAAAUGCAUUGACCUUUGAAGUUCAAACAAGCUCAAAAAGAGCAGGAUAAUUAAAGAAGACAAGCAAAAAGUUUAAAAACAUAUAUGAAGCUUUACUAAUGAGCAUGUUUAAAAUAAAUAAUGUAUCUUCAUGAGUUAUUGAUGAUCUUAUAAUUCAUAAGUGCUGAGAAAAACAUAACGAACGAUUUGUAAAAAGUCAUCAAAAGCAAGUAAGAACACAGCCAGCUCAUUGCUUAUCGUGUAACUGAUUAAAGUUCUAUCUAGAAAGUAGAAAGGUAAAAAAAAAAAAAAAGAAAAGGAGUGGGUAACAGAAAGGUAUGGGUACUUGGUUGAAUAAUAUCUCCCCAAAAUUCAUGUCCACUCAGAAGUUCAGAAUGUGACCUUAUAUAGAAAUAGGAUUUCUGCAGAUUUAAUGAUAAAGAUGAUAAGUAGAUAAAGAUGAGGUCAUGCUGAAUUAGGGUGGGCCCUAAAUCCAAUAUGAGUAGUGUCCUGAUAAGGAGAGGAUGUAGAGAGACAGAGACACCCAGGGGAGAAAGGCAGGUGAC
Molecule: long non-coding RNA, 2291 nt
Organism: Equus caballus (horse)
Lineage: Eukaryota; Metazoa; Chordata; Mammalia; Perissodactyla; Equidae
Source: Ensembl